GCCCAUUGGACGAUACUUGGGCUUCCGGCAUGUAUUUGGGCCAUAAAUUUGAUGUUACGGUAAAGAUAACAAUCCGGGCUCAAAGAACUAAUGAUAGGCCCAAUACCAGAGCUGAAAAGCCUGAUCUGGAGAAGUUCCCCGCCAUUCCUUUGAGGACAUAUAACAAACAUGUGACAGGCAAAACAAUCAACCGCGCAAAUAAUUUGGCAUCAAUGGCGGCACUAAGGAUAACGUCUAUACACAAUCAUACUCCCAUUCAACUACCCACCUCCUCCACCACCGCAACCAAGCCCACAGUGGCCUUCACCACCCCAUCAAAUUACGCUGACCGGCUCUCUCGCCUCCUCGAUCUCAAAGGCCACACUCCCCUCUGGUGCCCUACCGUUGUUACCGAGCCCACCCCGCAAUCCCUCUAUCUCCACCUCUCUCCACACUCCUUCCCACUAUUCUCCGCAAUCGCGUUCCCCUCUCGAACAGCAAUCACCGCUUUCUCCCUUGCUACUCUCUCGCUCACCAAACCCCUGUUGCCCCCGCAAGGCAAUAGUCUGAUCAUCGCGGCUCUUGGAAAGGACGCAGAAGGCAUUGACGAGAGGUUUCUGCUUGAUAUCUGUUCAAAUGUUGAUCGAGUUCGACUGUUGGUUCCGCCCGUAGCGACCCCAAGCGGCAUGGUCCGAUCGCUCGGGGAUGGACGCGGUAGGAGAGUUUUGUGUCCCGUACCGCUUGUGGUGGGACUGCAGGAGCCUCCAGUUGUUCCGAAUUUUCUUCAGGAGCUUGAGGAGGCCGGGUGGGUUCCUGUGAGGGUUAAUGCGUACGAGACACGAUGGUCUGGGCCCAGCUGCGCUGAGAGCAUGGUGAGGAGGAGUGACGAUGACCGGGGAGAGGGAUUGGAUGCGGUGGUGUUUACGAGUAGUGGUGAAGUUGAGGGGUUGUUGAAGAGUUUGAGGGAAUUUGGAUGGGAUUGGAGAAUGGUGAGGAGGAGGUGGCCAAGUUUGGUGGUGGCGACACACGGACCAGUAACUGCGGCAGGGGCAGAGAGGUUGGGGGUUGAUGUUGAUGUUGUGAGUUCAAGGUUUGACAGCUUUGAUGGCAUUGUUGAAGCACUUGAUUCCAGGUUGCGAGUCUCCUGAUCCAAAUCCAGGAAUUAGGUUUUCUGACUGCAAUCCAGAGAAGCUCAUAUACACAUGCUAAGUGAAUAAUAUGUAAAAUUAAGUGUACCUGUUUCUCUUCCGGAGUUUGUUGUUGGAGAUGGACCUUUGGCCAAUUGGAUCAGGAUAACAGUCAUCAUGAAGGAAGCUAAGUCCCCGUGCAAUGCCAUUCACUAUUUUGUACUUAAUUGGCCAGUCCAUUCUCAUUCUAGUCUUCUCUGCCAAAUUCCCAUUAGGCAAAGGCAAGUAAUCAUACAGGAGGUAAC
This is an RNA transcript of Tripterygium wilfordii, 1411 nucleotides long. RefSeq lists it as uncharacterized. The record is from RefSeq and is a predicted model, not a curated record. Lineage: Eukaryota; Viridiplantae; Streptophyta; Magnoliopsida; Celastrales; Celastraceae. The transcript has 4 exons.